This 338-nucleotide transfer-messenger RNA is filed under the name Rhodospirillales bacterium. It matches the Rfam family "Alphaproteobacteria transfer-messenger RNA". Rfam says of the family: Bacterial tmRNA, also known as 10Sa RNA or SsrA, is named for its dual tRNA and mRNA-like properties. Its role is to liberate the mRNA from a stalled ribosome. The record is from RNAcentral. Lineage: Bacteria; Pseudomonadati; Pseudomonadota; Alphaproteobacteria; Rhodospirillales.
CCUCUUCCCAAGCCUGCCCGAGGGGCUUAUAUUUAUCAGGUCGGGCAACCGACUAUGGCGCUAAACGCCACGUGGAAUAGGCAUUGCGGACCCGGGGGCGGUACCCGGCGCCUCCACCGAAGCCGGUUUCGGCCGUUUUCGGGGGGGCGAAACAGGAUCGACGCGUGCGGUAAAGACGUGGUUUGUGCUCGGCAUGGUUCCGCCGUUAUCGGGCCAUCUUCACAAGUGCCAACGACAACGAGGCACUCGCGAUUGCUGCGUAAUCGACGCCCCUAACGGGGCAUGAUUGCAGGCGAAAGCGCGGUUCGGGGGGCACCGGGCAACAGAAGCCCCCCACU